This is a transfer RNA of 71 nucleotides. It matches the Rfam family "tRNA". From Rfam's summary of the family: Transfer RNA (tRNA) molecules are approximately 80 nucleotides in length.
GGGUCCGUAGUCUAAAGGUAGGACGCGGCCCUUACGAGGCCGAGAUCCCGGUUCGAUUCCGGGCGGACCCA